RNAcentral lists this ribosomal RNA (497 nucleotides) under uncultured bacterium. RNAcentral's name for it is "partial 16S ribosomal RNA". It matches the Rfam family "Bacterial small subunit ribosomal RNA", at positions 28 to 507 of the family's 1533-position model. The record is from RNAcentral.
GAUGAACGCUGGCGGCGUGCCUAAUACAUGCAAGUCGAGCGAACAGACGAGGAGCUUGCUCCUCUGACGUUAGCGGCGGACGGGUGAGUAACACGUGGAUAACCUACCUAUAAGACUGGGAUAACUUCGGGAAACCGGAGCUAAUACCGGAUAAUAUAUUGAACCGCAUGGUUCAAUAGUGAAAGACGGUUUUGCUGUCACUUAUAGAUGGAUCCGCGCCGCAUUAGCUAGUUGGUAAGGUAACGGCUUACCAAGGCGACGAUGCGUAGCCGACCUGAGAGGGUGGUCGGCCACACUGGAACUGAGACACGGUCCAGACUCCUACGGGAGGCAGCAGUAGGGAAUCUUCCGCAAUGGGCGGAAGCCUGACGGAGCAACGCCGCGUGAGUGAUGAAGGUCUUCGGAUCGUAAAACUCUGUUAUUAGGGAAGAACAAAUGUUUAAGUAACUAAGCACGUCUUGACGGUACCUAAUCAGAAAGCCACGGCUAACUACGUG